RNAcentral lists this ribosomal RNA (253 nucleotides) under uncultured bacterium. RNAcentral's name for it is "partial 16S ribosomal RNA". It matches the Rfam family "Bacterial small subunit ribosomal RNA", at positions 524 to 776 of the family's 1533-position model. The record is from RNAcentral.
UACGGGGGGGGCAAGCGUUGUUCGGAAUUACUGGGCGUAAAGGGCGCGUAGGCGGCCGCCUAAGUCAGACGUGAAAUCCCCCGGCUUAACCUGGGAACUGCGUCUGAUACUGGACGGCUUGAGUAUGGGAGAGGGAUGUAGAAUUCCAGGUGUAGCGGUGAAAUGCGUAGAUAUCUGGAGGAAUACCGGUGGCGAAGGCGGCAUCCUGGACCAUUACUGACGCUGAGGCGCGAAAGCUAGGGGAGCAAACGGG